AAGAGCUUAAAGUGCAUAGAGAGUGCAAUAAAAAGAGGAUUGGUACAGUAAAGUAGCCAAAAAAACUUUUAUUGUUCUAAAAUACACAGUAAAGUAUUUUACUCUUGUAUUUUAGAACAAUAAAAGUUUUUUUGGCUACUUUACUGUACCAAUCCUCUUUUUAUUGCACUUUCUAUGCACUUUAAACUCUUU
This is a non-coding RNA of Pelobates cultripes (western spadefoot toad), 192 nucleotides long. The record is from the annotation of a GenBank genome assembly. NCBI's taxonomy places the organism in Eukaryota, Metazoa, Chordata, Amphibia, Anura, Pelobatidae.